CCCCGGCCCCCUCACCUGGCCACCCUUGUCUAUUUUUACCUGUUGCUUCGGCGGGCCUGCAGCGAUGCUGCCGGGGGAGUUUUCACUCCCCGGGCUCGUGCCCGCCGAGGACACCGCUAGAACUUCUGGUGAACGAUUGACAUCUGAAAAAAUAACUAUAAUCAGUUAAAACUUUCAACAACGGAUCUCUUGGUUCCGACAUCGAUGAAGAACGCAGCAAAAUGCGAUAAGUAAUGCGAAUUGCAGAAUUCCGUGAAUCAUCGAAUCUUUGAACGCACAUUGCGCCCUCUGGUAUUCCGGGGGGCAUGCCUGUCCGAACGUCAUUGCAACCCUCAAGCGCGGCUUGUGUGUUGGGCCUUCGUCCCCCCGUGGACGUGCCCGAAAUGCAGCGGCGGCGUCGUGUUCCGGUGCCCGAGCGUAUGGGGCUUUGUCACCCGCUCUAGAGGCCCGGCCGGCUCCGGCCCCAUCUCAAACCCUUCGAGGGAGGGCGGUCUUCGGGCCGGUCUCCCCACCAGGUUGACCUCGGAUCACGUAGGAAUACCCGCUGAACUUAA
This 554-nucleotide ribosomal RNA is filed under the name Blastomyces dermatitidis. RNAcentral's name for it is "eukaryotic LSU rRNA". The stretch from base 170 to 323 matches the Rfam family "5.8S ribosomal RNA". The record is from RNAcentral. Lineage: Eukaryota; Fungi; Ascomycota; Eurotiomycetes; Onygenales; Ajellomycetaceae.